RNAcentral lists this ribosomal RNA (469 nucleotides) under uncultured bacterium. Its description in RNAcentral is "bacterial SSU rRNA". It matches the Rfam family "Bacterial small subunit ribosomal RNA", at positions 28 to 525 of the family's 1533-position model. The record is from RNAcentral.
GACGAACGCUGGCGGCAUGCCUAACACAUGCAAGUCGAGGGGCCCUUCGGGGUCACUGGCGCACGGGUGAGUAACACGUAGGUCAUCUACCCCUAUCACAGACAUAACAGCGGGAAACCGUUGCUAAUAUCUGAUGAGGUCGUGAGAUCAAAGCUUCGGCGGAUAGGGAUGAGCCUGCGGCUGAUUAGCUAGUUGGUGAGGUAAUGGCUCACCAAGGCAACGAUCAGUAGCUGGUCUGAGAGGACGAACAGCCACACUGGAACUGAGACACGGUCCAGACUCCUACGGGAGGCAGCAGUGAGGAAUAUUGGUCAAUGGGAGCAAUCCUGAACCAGCAAUGCCGCGUGUGGGAUGACAGGGCUCAGCCUUGUAAACCACUGUCGGACGGGACGAGAAGGAUCUUAAAGGUCCUGGGACGGUACCGUCAAAGGAAGGGUCGGCUAACUACGUGCCAGCAGCCGCGGUAAUG